GGUGAACGCUGGCGGCGUGCUUAACACAUGCAAGCCGAGCGAGUGAGUUUUUCGGAACGAUCUAGCGGCGGACGGGUGAGUAACACGUGGGCAACCUGCCUCAUAGAGGGGAAUAGCCUCCCGAAAGGGAGAUUAAUACCGCAUAAAAUUAUCGAGUGGCAUCACACGAUAAUCAAAGGAGUAAUCCGCUAUGAGAUGGGCCCGCGGCGCAUUAGCUAGUUGGUGAGGUAACGGCUCACCAAGGCGACGAUGCGUAGCCGACCUGUGAGGGUGAUCGGCCACAUGGGGACUGGGACACGGCCCAGACUCCUACGGGAGGCAGCAGUGGGGAAUAUUGCACAAUGGGGGAAACCCUGAUGCAGCAACGCCGCGUGAGUGAUGAAGGUCUUCGGAUUGUAAAGCUCUGUCUUUGGGGACGAUAAUGACGGUACCCAAGGAGGAAGCCACGGCUAACUACGUGCCAGCAGCCGCGGUAA
RNAcentral lists this ribosomal RNA (476 nucleotides) under uncultured bacterium. RNAcentral's name for it is "partial 16S ribosomal RNA". It matches the Rfam family "Bacterial small subunit ribosomal RNA", at positions 28 to 523 of the family's 1533-position model. The record is from RNAcentral.